CCGUUCGUGUUACCUGUCAGCCUGUUGUUUCGCGUAAUUUUCAGACAGUUUAUGCACAUUAUAUUUCACCGGGUUACACAAGCUACGUGUUUUAUUGUUAAUUGUUCUCGUUAUCUUUUGUCUCUAAUCUGCGUUAUCUUUUCAAUUAAAUCGUACGAAUUUCGAAUUUAAUUAAAUAAUUUUAUUUUUAACAAAUAAAGACGUUUCCAUUUCAUUCCCUCGCUUCGUGAUUUUCGAUAAUAUUAAUAGAUUUGUUCUUGAAAACAUCGAGCACGUGCAUUUGUUUAUCAAAUUGUGAAGAAUAUAUUUUGAAAGAAUAAAAAUGUCUGUUGCAGUAUCCGGUCAACAGCCGGAUAAUGAUAUUGUUUGCUUUAAAUCGUUUCUAUACAUAGGUGACUAAUAACGAAACAUUUCCGAAUAAUGAUCUCGUUUGAUCAAAAGGGAUGGCUUUCACGUUCACGUUUCACAUGCAAGAUUAAUUAUAAGUUUAAAAUAAAAAAAAAAAAUCUUUCGUAAUCUCCGCGUAAUUGAUCUUUUUUUCUUCCGUUCCAUUGUCCGAAUCCAUCUUUUAUCCAUAUUUAAAAACGAAUAGCUUUUUAUACAAAUCUUAAUCCUUCGUCGUUAAAUUUAUUCAAAAACGGAUAUCACAAAAAAGCAGAUUAUUCGAGAGGAUAGGAAAUGUCCACGCAGCGCUAUGAUUCGCAGCGGAUGAACGCAACGAAGUAUCGAGAAGUAUUCUUUCGAACGAAUAUUCGCGACGUUGAACGCGACGAAACACUGGCGAUGAUAACUGAAGGGGAUAGAAGGGUGAGGCUGAAAACCGGCCAAUAAUUAUUACACGACUCUACGAAGCGGUUAUUGUCCCAAAUUGGGGGUCGCUUUGCGGAUAAUGGGUGUGCUCGAGAGGUCAUGUGAGCCUGACGUUCCAGCAUGUCAACAGCAACUAUGCAUCAUCGGAUGUCUGGCGCACGUAAACGCCUGCUCCCUUCCUACCUUGUUUCUCUAUCCAUCCUUUUCUCUCCGAUUCUCUCUCGCCAAUGGUUAUGCUUUGCCUCGCGUCAUCUAUUUCUCUUUCUAGCUUCCCGUCGCAUAAUUCGAUCAUCAUAAAUCGAAUCCCUCGAUUCGUUCGAUCCCUACGAUAAAAUUCUCGAAAAUCGUUCGAGAGUGAAAAUUACAGUUCGAGUAAAAUGGUGGUCUCGAUGCAUUUCCAAUAUUUGCGAAGGAAAAUCACUUUUGGAAUGCGAAAGUUUCGAUAUCUACGAUAAAAUAAAUAAAAAAGUUUGGAAGAAAAGUUUUUUCGUACCUAGAUUUUUUGAAACGAACAAUUUCUGGUGAAGAAUGGAAGAACUUGAAUUUGAACGAAACACGUCAUUUGCCAGAGGUACAAUGUCAAUGUAAUCUGUUCAUUCGUUCCAUAUUGAACUCGUUCGUAUCCUUACGGAAGUGGCGACACAGACUUAGAGAGGGCCGGGUAUGUGUGUAACGUUCCAACACAUGUAGAGAGGGCGCGCGGCAAGUGCAGGAUCGAGCUAGCUGCAUAUCUCCAGCCUAGGAAUUGGAGUGGAUGGCGAACGUGGGUACAAUAGUUCGCAUUGUAUUGGAUCUCUCCGAGUGAUAGGCACCCUCCCCGCCCUCUAUCCGUUCCUGUCUGUCUCUCUUUCUCCCGAUUCCCUGCUGCCUCCUUCCUACGCUUCGUUGCCUACCGUCGUAUCUCAUUUUACGAAGGCCUCGAGCGCGCGUUAUUAUGCGCGUUAUGCCGCUGCCUCACCAUUCUAUAUCGCCAUUGCGGCCAACUGCAUCGCAUCUGCCCGUUUUCUGCUCUUCCACUUCUAUCGCAACGCCAUCUCACCUACCGACCAAUCGAUCUUUCCACCUUUCGAUUACCUAUUCCCUAUAUACCAAACUUCAACCAAUUAUACUCAUUGUACAUUUUCUUCUUGACCAAUGAAGCGGUCGAUAAAUUUGAAAUGAUCGCGCUUACUUCGUGGCGGUGGAGACACGUUGUUUCUACUAUACUUCGGUCUAGAUAAAAUAGAAAAGAAAUAGCGAAUAAACAAAGAGAUACGAUCGAAAUUGAUAGACGAUAAGUCAUUACUUUGAUUAAAAUAAAAUAAAUCUUUAUAAUAUCUUUAUAAUGAGAAAAAAGAAGAGAAGAAUAGAUUUGUUAUCUACAGACAGAAUCAAGUGUGCUAAAAAUAGGUUAGAAUCUCGUAUCGAGUGAGAAGUUUCGAAUCGUGAAUAGAAUUUUGAACGAGAUAGAUUCUAAUUAUACCCCCACAUGGAUCAUCGCUUGGGAAUUAGAAAGGCUGUUCCGACAUAACGGCACGGAGAUAAAAUUCUAUCGGUAGAAAGUGCCGUGAAAAAUGAAAUUAUCCGGAAACCAUGCUGGCUGGCAAGUGGAAAGGGAGUUAAGCGGCCUUCGUCCGGCAAAUAAUUGAUGCACGUCAAUUAGAUUUGUCAGGGUGAUCGUCACAAUGAAAUUAACAGGAACGCCAGCCAUAGACGUACACACCACACGUACAUCAGGUUACGUUAUAUAUCCAGCAGUAAACUUGUUUCACCUACAAGGUGUAUUGCGAAUCGGCUGACAUUGGAUUCGAUUGUCAGGCAAGUUGCUGAACCGCUUUAAAUCCAAUCAGAUUUACUUAUAUUCCCAUGAUUCCUGCAACGAAAUUAAUUUCACGUUUUUGUUUCACAGGGACGGUUUCGCCUUUCGUGUUAUUCGUGUUUAGAAAUUUUGCCCGGCUCGUUACGGAAGGAUAAUUGUGAUAAUUUUUUUUAACGGAUGAUGUUUGGAAAUUUCAAUAUUCGUCUUUAGUCGAUAAGCGAAGACUUAUGGGACACACUGUGUAGACGAUACACCGCAUAGUCGUGUAGCAGUCUCGCGUAGGUGGUGUGAAAUUUAAAUUUUUCCAAUACCGGAUACCGCUAAUUCCGUUGAUCCAGUAAAACUGCUAGAAAUUCCUAUCGCACUUUCUCGUUAACGAAGAUAACGCGAUCGUUCUGACUAUUCCGCUAAAAAGAACGGCCAAUUAUCGGUCUACUUAUCGACCAUAUAUCCUUUCUUCUUUUUACACCCUAAUCUCUUUCCUUUGCCCACAGAGGGCAAAAUUUCAAGAUUUUGUCGUGCAAAGAGGAGAAGAGAAUCGAAAGUUUCUCAUUUGAAUCGAUUAUUAUACGAAUUCUUUCGCUAUUUUAUUCGAACGAAUGCUUCGCUUAUCCAUUACCAACAGUUGGUAACUGCGCACCAAUAUGCGCACAAAAUUCUUUCUCGACAAUUCUAUUAGGAGAAGGGAGUAUAGAUUUUAUUCGAUGCGAUUAUGCGUA
This 3327-nucleotide long non-coding RNA is filed under the name Apis mellifera (honey bee). RNAcentral describes it as "uncharacterized LOC107964859". Lineage: Eukaryota; Metazoa; Arthropoda; Insecta; Hymenoptera; Apidae. The record is from RNAcentral.